CCCAAGUAGUGCAACAGGAGGUAUGCGGUCAGCCAGUCUAGGCCUGACUCAGGGAACUGGACGCCCCUGCCAUGCAUAGUCCCCUGAGAUGUCUCAUGUUUCAUGUUUCAUGGCUAAUUGGGCUUGGGACGCAAGCUCAGGUUUGAUCAUCCUGUAGCUGGCCGCCUCUGGAGAGGGUGUAUAGUGUUAAGGGCCGAAACACCCUAUGACCCAGAGGAACACUACUGAUGAUGUGUACCCAUAAAUUGAAUUCCUCUUCAGGACUAGGGUUUGUUCACAAA
Molecule: long non-coding RNA, 281 nt
Organism: Thalassophryne amazonica
Lineage: Eukaryota; Metazoa; Chordata; Actinopteri; Batrachoidiformes; Batrachoididae
Exons: 4
Source: RefSeq, a predicted model, not a curated record